This 336-nucleotide unclassified non-coding RNA is filed under the name Hevea brasiliensis (rubber tree). Lineage: Eukaryota; Viridiplantae; Streptophyta; Magnoliopsida; Malpighiales; Euphorbiaceae. The record is from RNAcentral.
GAAGCACCAGAAAGGAGAUCAGCUAGAGCACUCAUCGCUCGAAUUUGCAUCUCAAGAGCUGGUGCUUCCUCAAGUACUACAGCUCCUCUUGAUCAACUCAGCUCGAGUCGACCUCCUCCUAUUUGAUGAUUUAUGUUUUUCAUGCUUUUCUAUUUUAUCUAUUUUCUUCUCUCCCUUCCUUUGAAUAUUCCUCUGUUACAUAUAUUUCUUCUAUCAUUUCAAGUGUUGGGACAACAAUAUUAGUAAUUGAAUUAUAACUGCCACUAAUAAUUUUGCUUGUUUUGAAAUGGAUCUAGAAUGAAACCUAUCCUAGUUAAUUGACUCAUUGAUUUUAAU